GACGAACGCUGGCGGCGUGCUUAACACAUGCAAGUCGAGCGGUAAGGCCCUUUCGGGGGGUACACGAGCGGCGAACGGGUGAGUAACACGUGGGUGACCUGCCCUCAGCUCUGGGAUAAGCCCGGGAAACUGGGUCUAAUACCGGAUAUGACUCCAUGACGCAUGUUGUGGGGUGGAAAGCCUUGUGCGGCUGAGGAUGGGCCCGCGGCCUAUCAGCUUGUUGGCGGGGUGAUGGCCACCAAGGCGACGACGGGUAGCCGGCCUGAGAGGGCGACCGGCCACACUGGGACUGAGAUACGGCCCAGACUCCUACGGGAGGCAGCAGUGGGGAAGUCUUGCGCAAUGGGCGAAAGCCUGACGCAGCGACGCCGCGUGUGGGA
Molecule: ribosomal RNA, 380 nt
Filed under: uncultured bacterium
Lineage: Bacteria
Description: bacterial SSU rRNA
Rfam family: Bacterial small subunit ribosomal RNA
Source: RNAcentral